Long non-coding RNA from Anneissia japonica, 981 nucleotides. RefSeq lists it as uncharacterized. The transcript is spliced from 4 exons. The record is from RefSeq and is a predicted model, not a curated record. Lineage: Eukaryota; Metazoa; Echinodermata; Crinoidea; Comatulida; Comatulidae.
AGGUUGUGCCAGUAGCCGGAGCCGGAGCCGCUGGGAUCGCCGGUGUUACGGUUUCCGGUUUAUCGGCGGCUGAAGUAAUCAAGAUUGUGGUUUCUUUGAUAAUAAUCAGGCGAGCAUGGCAUGGUGUAAAUACACUCGGACGGACGCUGGGGGUUUUCGACAAGACUUUUAAAUGUGUUUUUAAGGGAUGGUACUUGCUUCAGCGUUCUUGUGGCCAUUUUCACUUAAUAUUCUGGACGCCUCACUUGUGUAGACUUUGCCAAAAAUCCAAAAGAACCACGUGAGCUAAUGGCGGAUAUGUUCGAUAGGAUGUGUUCUAGCAGAAAGCUCCCAGAUUUGCUGUAUUAUAGGGUAUUUCCGUGAUGUAUAUUUUAACAAAACUACAAAGUUACAGGUCGAAAAAACAUCGAGUUAAUUUAAUGUGCGGACAAGAAUGAAUCGGAUUUUCUCUUGCUAUACUCGGGUUGUUAUAGGGCCUAUUUAUCAUCUAAGUUUUGUCCUAUAUUAAUAACAUAGUACUUAAACGCUUCAGCUGCUGCUUUGGUUCUCUCAACUUGGGGUCACUGACCUUAAGUUCCUUUGGUAGGCCCUAUUAUGUUUAUAUUAGUUCCAAGAACCUGAUUAAUAGCCUUCCAGGUUUCUUUUGUAUUAUUUUUAUAUUUUUGAAAUUGAUUAGUGUAAAAUUGGUUUUUUUUAGAUACAAAGUGUAGGCCUAUUUUAUUAUUAUAUUUUGUUUUAUUGAAAUGGUGUGGGAGUUUUUUCUAUAUUUACUGUAUAGUUUGAUUUGAAUUAUUUGGCUAUUCCUUUAGUAAUCGAGGGUGAUAGUUUUCGGUUUGCCCUAAUUCUAACGUUAAAGUAUUACAGAACAGUUGGAAUGUUGUACUUGCAUCGUUAGAAUUUAACACGUGUUCUUAUUGUUGUGCGUUCCAUCUCUUGCUCAGCGUUGGGAUUGCUGGAGAGAAAACUUACGUUUACGUAAUA